AUCCUGAAGCAUACGACAAGGCUUAUUUAAAUUCAACCGACAAAUGUUGUUCGGGAGACUGAGUUUAAUAAUAGAUAACAUGCCUGUACAUUUUUAUAGGAAGUUAAAAGUUAUUAGCAGGUCACCCACCUGGGAGUAUCUCGGGUCUGAAUUUACGUGAGCCACCGGUGUUUUGGGAUUU
Molecule: non-coding RNA, 181 nt
Filed under: uncultured Romboutsia sp.
Lineage: Bacteria; Bacillati; Bacillota; Clostridia; Peptostreptococcales; Peptostreptococcaceae
Description: 6S / SsrS RNA
Rfam family: 6S / SsrS RNA
About the family: E. coli 6S RNA was the first non coding RNA to be sequenced, but its function was unknown until recently.
Source: RNAcentral